This 1831-nucleotide small RNA is filed under the name Pongo abelii (Sumatran orangutan). RNAcentral's name for it is "retained intron". Lineage: Eukaryota; Metazoa; Chordata; Mammalia; Primates; Hominidae. The record is from RNAcentral.
AACAAGUCUCAGGCCCUAGAGUCAGGGCAAAAGGUGAGGUGGUGAAGUAGCCUGGGCCUGGGAACUGCUGGCCCUAAGAACCUUCUAUUCUCAUCCAUGGAUUGGGCCCACUACUCAGAGCAGCUCCUGAGGCAGGUAAAUGGGGCAAGGACUCACGCCAAAUACCACACACGUAUGUCAAACACCCGAGGUCGGAUUCUGGGGCCCCUGCCCUCAGGAGGCUGUCAGACUCUUCCCCCUAAACACACUUCUGAAGGUUGUAGGGACCUUGCCCCACUGUCUGCGGACCAGAGCCUCUCCCAUCUGACCCAGGCCAGGUGUUCCCACCUCUCCUCCUUGGGAAGUUCCAGUGGGUUCUGGAGGGAGGGUGGGCUGUGUGCAGCUCCGUCUUUUGCUGGCCCUCCUCCUAGGCUGGUGUGGUUUUUUUCUUUUCUCAGGUGAUAUAUCCCCUGAAGGAGGUCUACCCCGACUCAGGUGAGCUGGUCCUCCUUAGGUCACGUCCUCUCCUUCUGUCGUGGUUGUCCCUGCUCUACCUGACUGUGGCCUCACCUGUGCCCUUUGGGAGAGGCUCCAGCCAGGCUGCUGAUUCAAGGAAGAGGGGCUCCUCUCCUCUUCCUUUGACUGUUUUGGGGUCUGCACCCAGAUCUUACCUCAUUCUGUCUUUCUGUCCUUAAGGAGAGACGCCCGUUGGGACAAGGAAAGUGAUGCCUUCCUUCACCUACCCCUUCCCUUAUCAAGGGCUGCAACCUGUGGUUUCAAAGCCUUCGCCCAGCAUUCUGGGGCCCCCACCCCUGCCAUCCAUGAUGUGCCCUGUCUAUUCUUUUUUUUUUUUUUUUUUUUUUUUUUUUGAGAUGGAGUUUCACUCUGUCACCCAGACUGGAGUGCAGUGGUGUGAUCUCGGCUCACUGCAACCUCCACCUCCCAGGUUCAAGGAAUUCCCCUGCCUCAGCCUCUUACGUAGCUGGGACUACAGGUGCAUGCCACCACGCCUGCCUAAUUUUUGUAUAUUUAGUAGAAACAGGGUUUCACCAUGUUGGCCAGGGUGGUCUCCAUCUCCUGACCUUGUGAUCCACCCGCCUCAGCCUCCCAAGGUGCUGGGAUUACAGGCGUGAGCCACUGUGCCUAGCCUUGCGCUGUCUAUUUUGACCAGCCAGGAGGCUCUGGCUUUUUGCAGACGGCUUCUCUGUUGUGCAGGUUCUGCUGAUGAUGAGAGGAUCUUGAGGUUCUUGGAAUUAGCAGGACUGGUAAGUGGGGGCAGGGACCCUCAGGACUCGAGCCCACCUGGGAGCACCAGCUACAGGUAGGCAGGUGCUGGCCCUGCUGUGCCUGGGCCCAGGACUGGAAGUCUGAACCUGGGGUGGAGAAUGGGAGUAUCAGUUGACAGUGUGUGCUGUUGGCCAGGUUUAGGCACGAAGGGGGUAGUGCUCUCAUUGGAGAAUUUUAAAAUAAAAAUAGGAUUGAUGAAGGCAGUUUGCUUUUUACUGUCACCAUGCUCCAGCAAGUCUAAACAGUGUCAUUGGUAGAAUAUUCCUCUCUGCCUGGGGCAGACUGUCCCACACAGUCCCCCACCUUGGUAUGCCACUGGGGCAUAUAUUUGUCUUAGAGGUUUGUGUGUGUGCUGGGGAGUGAGGGAGGUUCCCCGUGAUGGCAGGUAGCAGGGCUGGCCAUUUCAUGGACAUCGUGCCCUCUGGGUCUGUUACAGUCCAACUUGGUGGCAAGGACAGAGGGUCUGGACCAGCAGGUGGACUGGAACUGGUAUGAUGUUCUUUCCCCGGGGGAGAUGCAACGGCUCUCCUUUGCCCGACUCUUCUACCUGCAGCCGAAGUACGCA